Molecule: ribosomal RNA, 392 nt
Filed under: uncultured bacterium
Lineage: Bacteria
Description: bacterial SSU rRNA
Rfam family: Bacterial small subunit ribosomal RNA
Source: RNAcentral
AUUGAACGCUGGCGGCAUGCUUUACACAUGCAAGUCGAACGGCAGCACGGGUGCUUGCACCUGGUGGCGAGUGGCGAACGGGUGAGUAAUGCAUCGGAACGUGCCCAUGAGUGGGGGAUAGCCCGGCGAAAGCCGGAUUAAUACCGCAUACGCCCUUAGGGGGAAAGCGGGGGAUCUUCGGACCUCGCGCUAUUGGAGCGGCCGAUGUCGGAUUAGCUAGUAGGUGAGGUAAAGGCUCACCUAGGCGACGAUCCGUAGCUGGUCUGAGAGGAUGAUCAGCCACACUGGGACUGAGACACGGCCCAGACUCCUACGGGAGGCAGCAGUGGGGAAUUUUGGACAAUGGGCGCAAGCCUGAUCCAGCCAUGCCGCGUGAGUGAAGAAGGCCUCGG